Molecule: ribosomal RNA, 427 nt
Filed under: uncultured prokaryote
Description: bacterial SSU rRNA
Rfam family: Bacterial small subunit ribosomal RNA
Source: RNAcentral
UGGGGAAUUUUGGACAAUGGGCGCAAGCCUGAUCCAGCCAUGCCGCGUGAGUGAAGAAGGCCUUCGGGUUGUAAAGCUCUUUCAGACGGAAAGAAAUCGCGCGCUCUAACAUAGCGCGUGGAUGACGGUACCGUAAGAAGAAGCACCGGCUAACUACGUGCCAGCAGCCGCGGUAAUACGUAGGGUGCGAGCGUUAAUCGGAAUUACUGGGCGUAAAGCGUGCGCAGGCGGUGAUGUAAGACAGAUGUGAAAUCCCCGGGCUCAACCUGGGAACUGCGUUUGUGACUGCAUCACUCGAGUACGGCAGAGGGAGGUGGAAUUCCACGUGUAGCAGUGAAAUGCGUAGAGAUGUGGAGGAACACCGAUGGCGAAGGCAGCCUCCUGGGCCAGUACUGACGCUCAUGCACGAAAGCGUGGGGAGCAAACA